This is a long non-coding RNA of Aquila chrysaetos chrysaetos, 3569 nucleotides long. The record is from Ensembl. NCBI's taxonomy places the organism in Eukaryota, Metazoa, Chordata, Aves, Accipitriformes, Accipitridae.
GCCCGGGGCUCGGUGGGGCUCUCCCUCGCGGCUGUGCCGGCACUGCGGCGGGGGUCCGUCCCCCGCACCCGCGCUGGCUCUGCUGCUUGGCGGCCUUAGGGACCGGGCAGGCGCGCUGCCGAGCCAAGGGGAGGCCGGGCCUCGGGCCUCGGCAGCGAGCUGCCGAGCGCCGGGCCUGGCCCGGCCUCGGCCUGCCCGUGCCGGCGUGGCCUCCAUUCCGCACGCCGGCGGUUGUCCGCCGCCAGCAGCCUUUCUAGCAAGGGGCGGCCGUGGCAGCGGCUCUGGCUUGCUUUCAGACUGGCCUCCGGGCAGCUCCUUGCAGCAGCCACCCAUCCCCCGCCCGGCCCGCCAGCCUGGCCUUGCGGGCAGGCCGCUGUAGAAGAGGUAUCUCGAAGGCGUAUCUCGUCUACAUACACGCACCAGGCUGAAUUUGCAGGCCGUGGCCAGCACUGCUGGCUGACAGAGGUCCUGUCCUCCGGCAGGACCCGCGGGCCCCUCGCUGGUCCCUCGGGACAGCUGUUCGGCAGGCAGAGGGAUUGCCCUGCAGCUUCAGACAUGGGUCGUCUUGCAGAGUAGAAGAUGAGACCGACAGAUGUGGCUGUGCUGAGUAGGCAGAGGCAUGGACUACUCUUUGAUCCUAUAAAGUUUAUCCUGGUUUUCAUGAAACACCCCUGUAAGUGGCCAGCAAUACAUCUCAUUGCCGGAAUGCACUCACACUUGCAGUUGUGGUCCAAGUGGGAUACCCCAGCCCACAGAUGGCUAGACAGACACGUCUACAAGCCCUUACUGCAUCAUGGUUAUGACAAGUGGCAGGCCUGGCUGGCUGCGUUCCUUCUCUCUGCAUGUUUCUGCGAGGCUGCUCCAUGCAAACUCUGGCCAAAUGGCUCCACUGAGCUGCUACAGCCCAUGCACCAGGGCACCGGGGGUCAUGCCAGGGAACAGCACCCUGCCACAGCUGCUGCAGGCAACACCCUCAGCGGUCUCCAUGUGUGCUUUGAUAAAAAAGCAAGGUUCCCAUCCAGAGAUGUAUUCAAGCCAUGGAGCUGGCUAAGUAAGCCACACAGCAGAAUUCCCAUGCAAUAGCUCUACUUGCCUGGAGUCAUUCACUACUGGCCGCGCAGUCCCAGGCCACCUUCUCUGAGAAUGGCAAACACCAUUGUCUCUGGGUGUUAGAUGGGUUUGCUCACACGUGCUCACUAUCUGCUGAAAUGAAUUCAACCAAGAGGAACAUGCUGGUGGCCUCAUUCUGCCAAGCGUGCUGGUACCCGACCCAUCCAGGCCAUACAUGCCUUCGCCAUGGCAGCCUCCGUUGCAGCUGCUGCCUCCAGCACAGAACCAAAACCAUCAGUUGCAGCACUGGCAAGAUUUGUGUCCAAGGCAAGAUUUGAACCACCUGUGAGUAAUCCUGUAAGACAUGAAGGCGCCAGUGGCCAAAAGCUGUUUUCUCACAGAGUUCCUCAGCAAAGACAAGGUGCAUCGUUCCUGCUGGGCACCCAGCCAGAAGGCCCGUCACCAGAACCCCAGAGUCAGGACCUUAGUGCAAAGGCCAGCAGCAAGGGGAGGAGUGUGAUCUGGAAACACAAAAGGAGAAGCACAGAAUGCCAAGGAGAUGACUUAAGACACAUGUAAUUGCGCAACAGGGAACCGGGCUUGGGGAAGGAAGCAGCACUUGAUUCUCAAACAUGUCACUGUGCUUUGGUAACACAAGCUUUAAUCAAAGCCUUCACACUGGCAGUGUUGCAAGUACUACACAGCAUUUGUUUUUCUAGGUGGUAAACUGAGUGAAUGUACCUCAAAGGCUGCAAAAGUCAUGCUGUACAGACUGGCUCGGUUGGUGUUUUACUGUGGUCAGUAGAUUUUUACCAGAUGCUUUUACUUGUUAAAUUUUCCUUGGUAGUAGGAGCAAUCCAGCAAAUAAUAUUAAUGAUGGAGCACCAGGAGACACGCAGCCAAGGAGAUCACUUUUUUGGCUGGAUCCCCUCCUGCACAAGGGAGGCUUUGUACAAGCUCACAGAAGUGCCGUGUUCAGCUUGCUGUGGGCAGAGCUGGAGGCAGGCUUCAGGCUUUGUCUCCGUGCAGAGUCAGGUCAGCUUCAUUAACCACGGGGCUUAAAACUCAUUAGUUCUGAGUUGUGGCCAGGCUGCUGGGAGGCUGUGGUUCCUCACGAGAGGUGCCUGUCUCCCAGCAGGGAUGGUAGGGAGACAGCUGGUCCUUUGGGCAAAAGAAGAGGCUUGGGCUGGCCUCAGAGAGCAUCCCAUGCCACCUGUGAGAGCUGCCAUGGAGGUCAUGCUUCGUUGGCAGUGCUGACCUUCUCUGACACCUGCAAAAUGGGACAGGACCGGUGUCACCAAGCUGGCCGACCCACAGCCCGUGGGUCAAGGACAUGGGCUGGUCAUGGUUCCACCAGCACUUGGUCUCAUGCAGGUUGUCUUUGACCCCUGUGGAUCCAGAUAAGAUGAAAUAAGUCAAGUCAUGCUCACAGUGAGUCAGGUGCCAGGCACCUCUGGCUCAGGCAGUGCCACUGUCAGGUGCCAGCGUCACCUUUGGAUACAUGCUGUUUGCAGCAACACCAGCAUCAUGGUGGAACAGCCUAGCUGGUGAUCGGGGACCAGCCUCAGAGUGGCACCCCCAUGGGGAGGGCAGGGUGAAACCAACCUCUCGGAGAUGUUUUCCUGGCUCUUGCAGGGUUAAGUAGCCCCUUUUGGCAAAAGUCAACUACAGAUUGCUGCCUCCCAGCUGAUUCCCACAGCAUUUCAAACACAACAUCACAAGAGUCAGGGAUAAUACACACGAAAGACCCUUCUCAGUGGGACAGAUAAGCACUAACAGAGUUAUUGCAGGAACAUAGAGUACUGAAUUUCCUACGUGCAGGAUUGGCUAUAUCGAGGGAGGAGAAGACAACCAUGAAAAAAAAUCCAAGGUUUCCCUGGGAUGCCCCUGUCCUAAACAUGCCAUAGCAUGGACCCUGCCCUUGCUGCAUAUAAUAAACCCUGCAUAUAAUAAACGUGUAUUCACAUGCUGGGAAGAAAUCAGUUCAGCUGACGCUGCCCUAGUCCGUAUGCAGGUUUAAACAAGCGCUCAAACCUGGAUUUCCCUCCAGCCUUCUCCUAGCACUGUUUCCCUUCCCCUUGGCUGUCCUUAUCCCCAGUAUUGCAGAGGGCAUCCAAGGGGUUGGUCUGGGCAUGUGCAUCCACAGCCACCACACGCCUCGCCAGCGAGAAGAGCGAUCCAGGGAUAACCUUCUGGGAGCAUGCCAGCCCUCCAGGAGCCCCGGUGCCUAUGCUUUCUGCUUCUCACCUGCUCCUUUCACCCAUGGCUAUUAAAUAGUGCAUACAAGGGGUACUGUAAUUUUUCUUUCUCAACAUUUUUCUCAUCCUUGAUGGAAAGAAGAGGGUUUCAUAUUCCUCUUACCAUCCCACCUUCUCUGUCCCACUCUUCAAAGGCACACUUGGCCUUUCAUGAGCUGGGAAGAGACUUCUUGUCCCCACUGGCACCACUCCACGGGUAAAGCCCAGUGCAGGCAGCUGUAGUUUGGUGGUGCCUCUGUAACAGCUCCUGCUACCCUCCAG